Molecule: long non-coding RNA, 704 nt
Organism: Sus scrofa (pig)
Lineage: Eukaryota; Metazoa; Chordata; Mammalia; Artiodactyla; Suidae
Source: RefSeq, a predicted model, not a curated record
CAUGCGCACAUGCAGCCAAGGGCUCCUGGUGGGGGCACCACCCUGGGCUCUGCUGAAACCAGGCCCUGACUCCUACCCAGUGUGAGCAGCAGCUCUGACACGGUGGCUUCAUUUCCACAGCUCCCUGAGCGGCCUCCCAACAGUCCUGAGAGAAACCACCAUCCAGACUCUUGCCACUGUUUCUCCCCCUCCAUCUGCCUCCCCACGUGGCCCUUCAUGGAAGGUCAUGCCUCCUAUUCCUCUGGAUCCUUUUCCUUACAGAGGCCACUGACAUUUAAUGGACAGGAGUCCAGGGAUACCACAACCCCUGCCCCACACAGGACAGUUCCACUGCCCCUGUGAUUUUAAAUACCCCUGGAUAUUCCUGCAAGGAAAAGCCUGAGACUAGGGAGUUCCGGUUGUGGCUCAGCGAAUUACAAACCCAACUAGUAUCCAUGAGGAUGCGGCUCGUGGGGUAGGCCAGCAGCUACAGCUCCAAUUAGACCCCUAGCCUGGGAACCUCCAUAUGCUGUGGACGAGGCCCUAAAAAGAAAAACAAAAAACAACAACGGUGGGUCAAACCCAACUCCAUAGAAUCCCAAAGUAUCUGUUGUUGCAGGUGUUAAUGUCCAUUGAAUACUUUUUAUCCCGGUGUCCACUCCACGUCUGUUCUUUCUCUUCUCUUUUGUCUUGCAUAGGAUGGCUUCUGACCAUCUUGCUGCUUU